GUUCGCUUCAGCAGCACAUGUACUAAAAGUGGAACGAUACAGAGAAGAUUAGCAUGGCCCUGCACAAGGAUGACAUGCAAAUUCAUGAAGCCUUCCAUAUUUUU
RNAcentral lists this small nuclear RNA (104 nucleotides) under Otolemur garnettii (small-eared galago). The record is from RNAcentral. Lineage: Eukaryota; Metazoa; Chordata; Mammalia; Primates; Galagidae.